Molecule: ribosomal RNA, 657 nt
Filed under: uncultured Actinomycetes bacterium
Lineage: Bacteria; Bacillati; Actinomycetota; Actinomycetes
Description: bacterial SSU rRNA
Rfam family: Bacterial small subunit ribosomal RNA
Source: RNAcentral
AGAGUUUGAUCCUGGCUCAGGACGAACGCUGGCGGCGUGCUUAACACAUGCAAGUCGAACGGUGAAAGCGGAGCUUGCUCCGCUGGAUCAGUGGCGAACGGGUGAGUAACACGUGGGCAACCUGCCCCAGACUUCGGGAUAACUCUUCGAAAGAGGCGCUAAUACCGGAUAUGAACUCUGCAGGCAUCUGCGAAGUUGGAAAGUUUUUCGGUCUGGGAUGGGCCCGCGGCCUAUCAGCUAGUUGGUGAGGUAGUGGCUCACCAAGGCGACGACGGGUAGCCGGCCUGAGAGGGCGACCGGCCACACUGGGACUGAGACACGGCCCAGACUCCUACGGGAGGCAGCAGUGGGGAAUAUUGCGCAAUGGGCGAAAGCCUGACGCAGCAACGCCGCGUGCGGGAUGAAGGCCUUCGGGUUGUAAACCGCUUUCAGCAGGGAAGAAGCGAAAGUGACGGUACCUGCAGAAGAAGCACCGGCUAACUACGUGCCAGCAGCCGCGGUAAUACGUAGGGUGCAAGCGUUGUCCGGAUUUAUUGGGCGUAAAGAGCUCGUAGGCGGUUAGUCGCGUCGGAUGUGAAAACCCAGUGCUUAACACUGGGCCUGCAUUCGAUACGGGCUGACUAGAGUGUUGUAGGGGAGACUGGAACUCCUGGUGUA